This 403-nucleotide ribosomal RNA is filed under the name uncultured bacterium. RNAcentral describes it as "partial 16S ribosomal RNA". It matches the Rfam family "Bacterial small subunit ribosomal RNA", at positions 30 to 526 of the family's 1533-position model. The record is from RNAcentral.
AUUGAACGCUGGCGGCAGGCCUAACACAUGCAAGUCGAGCGAGCGGCGGACGGGUGAGUAAUGUAUGGGGACUGCCCGAUCGAGGGGGAUAACUGCUGGAAACGGUGGCUAAUACCGCUUACUAUCGGAUAACCCAUAGGGGAUUAGCUAGUAGGUGGGGUAAAGGCUCACCUAGGCGACGAUCUCUAGCUGGUCUGAGAGGAUGAUCAGCCACACUGGGACUGAGACACGGCCCAGACUCCUACGGAGGCAGCAGUGGGGAAUAUUGCACAAUGGGCGAAAGCCUGAUGCAGCCAUGCCGCGUGUAUGAAGAAGGCCUUAGGAUUGUAAAGUACUUUCAGCAGAGAGGCGUUACCUACAGAGGAAGCACCGGCUAACUCCGUGCCAGCCGCCGCGGUAAUAC